UGUGAUAAAGGACACUCCUCUGAGGUGUGAUAAAGGACACUCCUCUGAGGUGUGAUAAAGGACACUUCUCUGAGGUGUGAUAAAGGACACUUCUCUGAGGUGUGAUAAAGGACACUUCUCUGAGGUGUGAUAAGGGAC
Alosa alosa (allis shad) is the source of this 138-nucleotide long non-coding RNA. RefSeq lists it as uncharacterized. The record is from RefSeq and is a predicted model, not a curated record. Lineage: Eukaryota; Metazoa; Chordata; Actinopteri; Clupeiformes; Clupeidae. The transcript has 3 exons.